CAAUGAGUACGGUAGUACAGACAUGGCCCAUGGAGGGUGAAAGGCCCGUUCGGGUGGAGAUUCGGCAGGCCAGUGCUUCUCUGGGUAGACCUUGGAGUCGGGUUGUUUGUGAAUGCAGCCCAAAGUGGGUGGUAAACUCCAUCCAAGGCUAAAUACAAGCACGAGUCCGAUAGCGAACAAGUACCGUGAGGGAAAGUUGAAAAGUACUUUGAAGAGAGAGUUAACAGUGCGUGAAACCGCUCAGAGGUAAGCAGGUGGAGUUGAACUGCAAGCUUUGAGAAUUCAGCUGGUGAGGUUGGUUUGGGCUUGGUCAAAUUGGUUGGGCCCCGAAGUACGUUAAACCACGUGUCCUUUCCCUUUGGGUUGGGAUGUGCGAUACACUUACCAAGUGUUGCACGCUUUGGGUGUUCAUCGAGCCUCCUUGUCAGUGCACUUUCUCAGAGUGGUCACCACGACCGACGCCGCUGUCAGGCUGUCAUAGUUAAACCGGUCUUGUAGUGUCCUUGUGGCAUUGCCUGGUCGGGAUGGCAGGUAGCUUGUUGGCUCGCUUCGGCUUGCUUUCGAGUGUAAUCAGCUGACUGUGACGGUUCUGUGCAGUGCGUCGGAGACGGCGGCCAGUGGUGUGUGCAUGCGUGCCCGAUUUGUUGGCGUACCCUGG
RNAcentral lists this ribosomal RNA (658 nucleotides) under Dicrocoelium dendriticum. RNAcentral's name for it is "LSU rRNA". It matches the Rfam family "Eukaryotic large subunit ribosomal RNA", at positions 179 to 632 of the family's 3401-position model. The record is from RNAcentral. Lineage: Eukaryota; Metazoa; Platyhelminthes; Trematoda; Plagiorchiida; Dicrocoeliidae.